This 389-nucleotide ribosomal RNA is filed under the name uncultured bacterium. RNAcentral describes it as "partial 16S ribosomal RNA". It matches the Rfam family "Bacterial small subunit ribosomal RNA", at positions 523 to 918 of the family's 1533-position model. The record is from RNAcentral.
AUACGUAGGGGGCGAGCGUUGUCCGGAAUGAUUGGGCGUAAAGGGCGCGUAGGCGGCCCGGUAAGUCUGGAGUGAAAGUCCUGCUUUUAAGGUGGGAAUUGCUUUGGAUACUGUCGGGCUUGAGUGCAGGAGAGGUAAGUGGAAUUCCCAGUGUAGCGGUGAAAUGCGUAGAGAUUGGGAGGAACACCAGUGGCGAAGGCGACUUACUGGACUGUAACGGACGCUGAGGUGCGAAAGCGUGGGGAGCGAACAGGAUUAGAUACCCUGGUAGUCCACGCCGUAAACGAUGAAUGCUAGGUGUUGGGGAAACUCAGUGCCGCAGUUAACACAAUAAGCAUUCCGCCUGGGGAGUACGACCGCAAGGUUGAAACUCAAAUGAAUUGGCGGGG